Molecule: ribosomal RNA, 1056 nt
Filed under: uncultured Alteromonas sp.
Lineage: Bacteria; Pseudomonadati; Pseudomonadota; Gammaproteobacteria; Alteromonadales; Alteromonadaceae
Description: bacterial SSU rRNA
Rfam family: Bacterial small subunit ribosomal RNA
Source: RNAcentral
GGCCGCGGGAAUUCGAUUAGAGUUUGAUUAUGGCUCAGAUUGAACGCUGGCGGCAGGCCUAACACAUGCAAGUCGAACGGAAACAUGUCUAGCUUGCUAGAUGAUGUCGAGUGGCGGACGGGUGAGUAAUGCUUGGGAACUUGCCUUUGCGAGGGGGAUAACAGUUGGAAACGACUGCUAAUACCGCAAAAUGUCUACGGACCAAACAGGGCUUCGGCUCUGGCGCACAGAGAGGCCCAAGUGAGAUUAGCUAGUUGGUGAGGUAAAGGCUCACCAAGGCAACGAUCUCUAGCUGUUCUGAGAGGAAGAUCAGCCACACUGGGACUGAGACACGGCCCAGACUCCUACGGGAGGCAGCAGUGGGGAAUAUUGCACAAUGGGGGAAACCCUGAUGCAGCCAUGCCGCGUGUGUGAAGAAGGCCUUCGGGUUGUAAAGCACUUUCAGUUGUGAGGAAAAGUUAGUAGUUAAUACCUGCUAGCCGUGACGUUAACAACAGAAGAAGCACCGGCUAACUCCGUGCCAGCAGCCGCGGUAAUACGGAGGGUGCGAGCGUUAAUCGGAAUUACUGGGCGUAAAGCGCACGCAGGCGGUUUGUUAAGCUAGAUGUGAAAGCCCCGGGCUCAACCUGGGACGGUCAUUUAGAACUGGCAGACUAGAGUCUUGAAUAGGGGAGUGGAAUUCCAGGUGUAGCGGUGAAAUGCGUAGAUAUCUGGAGGAACAUCAUUUGCCGAAGGCGACUCCCUUGGCAAAAGACUGACGCUCAUGUCCCAAAAUUUUGGGUAGCGAACUGGAUUAGAUACCCGGGUAGUCCCCACCGUAAACGCUGUCUACUAGCUGUUUGUGACUUUUAAGUCGUGAGUAGGGAAGCUAACGCGAUAAGUAAAACCGCCUGGGGAGUACGGCCGCAAGGGUAAAACCUCAAAUGAAUUGGCGGGGGCCCCCCCAAGCGGGGGAAACAGGGGGGUUUAAUUCUUUUCCCCCCGGAAAAACCUUACCCACCCCUGCCCCCCUGGAAAGGUACCCCCAAAAGGUUUUUUGCCUUCCGGGAAUUCAAA